This 387-nucleotide unclassified non-coding RNA is filed under the name soil metagenome. Its description in RNAcentral is "partial contains 5.8S ribosomal RNA, internal transcribed spacer 2, and large subunit ribosomal RNA". The stretch from base 1 to 120 matches the Rfam family "5.8S ribosomal RNA", at positions 35 to 154 of the family's 154-position model. The record is from RNAcentral.
GAUGAAGAACGCAGCGAAAUGCGAUAAGUAAUGUGAAUUGCAGAAUUCAGUGAAUCAUCGAAUCUUUGAACGCACCUUGCGCUCCUUGGUAUUCCGAGGAGCAUGCCUGUUUGAGUGUCAUGAAAUUCUCAACCUUUUCAGCUUUCUUUGUUGAUCAGGCUUGGAUGUGGGAGUAUGCGGGCUUCUCAGAAGUCGGCUCUCCUGAAAUGCAUUAGCGGGACCUUUGUUGCCUGGCUUUGGUGUGAUAAUUAUCUACGCCAUUGUAGUCAAGCAGCUUAAAAUGAGGUUUCAGCUUCUAACCGUCUCCCCUGAGACAACUUUUUGACAAUUUGACCACAAAUCAGGUAGGACUACCCGCUGAACUUAAGCAUAUCAAUAAGCGGAGGA